This 375-nucleotide ribosomal RNA is filed under the name uncultured organism. RNAcentral describes it as "bacterial SSU rRNA". It matches the Rfam family "Bacterial small subunit ribosomal RNA", at positions 526 to 896 of the family's 1533-position model. The record is from RNAcentral.
CGGGGGGAGCAAGCGUUGUUCGGAUUUACUGGGCGUAAAGGGCGCGUAGGCGGCCACCGCAAGUCGACUGUGAAAUCUCCGGGCUUAACCCGGAAAGGUCAGCCGAUACUGCGGGGCUAGAGUGCAGAAGGGGCAACUGGAAUUCUCGGUGUAGCGGUGAAAUGCGUAGAUAUCGAGAGGAACACCUGCGGCGAAGGCGGGUUGCUGGGCUGACACUGACGCUGAUGCGCGAAAGCUAGGGGAGCGAACGGGAUUAGAUACCCCGGUAGUCCUAGCCUUAAACGAUGAAUGCUUGGUGUCUGGGGUUUUAUAGUCCCCGGGUGCCGUCGCUAACGCUUUAAAGCAUUCCGCCUGGGGAGUACGGUCGCAAGACUG